Molecule: ribosomal RNA, 732 nt
Filed under: uncultured bacterium
Lineage: Bacteria
Description: bacterial SSU rRNA
Rfam family: Bacterial small subunit ribosomal RNA
Source: RNAcentral
AGAGUUUGAUCAUGGCUCAGAUUGAACGCUGGCGGCAGGCUUAACACAUGCAAGUCGAGCGGGGAAAGGUAGCUUGCUACCUUACCUAGCGGCGGACGGGUGAGUAAUGCUUAGGAAUCUGCCUAUUAGUGGGGGACAACAUUUCGAAAGGAAUGCUAAUACCGCAUACGCCCUACGGGGGAAAGCAGGGGACCUUCGGGCCUUGCGCUAAUAGAUGAGCCUAAGUCGGAUUAGCUAGUUGGUGGGGUAAAGGCCUACCAAGGCGACGAUCUGUAGCGGGUCUGAGAGGAUGAUCCGCCACACUGGGACUGAGACACGGCCCAGACUCCUACGGGAGGCAGCAGUGGGGAAUAUUGGACAAUGGGGGGAACCCUGAUCCAGCCAUGCCGCGUGUGUGAAGAAGGCCUUUUGGUUGUAAAGCACUUUAAGCGAGGAGGAGGCUACUUAGAUUAAUACUCUAGGAUAGUGGACGUUACUCGCAGAAUAAGCACCGGCUAACUCUGUGCCAGCAGCCGCGGUAAUACAGAGGGUGCAAGCGUUAAUCGGAUUUACUGGGCGUAAAGCGUGCGUAGGUGGCCAAUUAAGUCAAAUGUGAAAUCCCCGAGCUUAACUUGGGAAUUGCAUUCGAUACUGGUUGGCUAGAGUAUGGGAGAGGAUGGUAGAAUUCCAGUGUAGCGGUGAAAUGCGUAGAGAUCUGGAGGAAUACCGAUGGCGAAGCAGCCAUCUGGCCUA